Molecule: transfer RNA, 105 nt
Filed under: Pseudooceanicola batsensis HTCC2597
Lineage: Bacteria; Pseudomonadati; Pseudomonadota; Alphaproteobacteria; Rhodobacterales; Paracoccaceae
Description: tRNA-Met
Source: RNAcentral
GGGCGUGUUGCCCAUGACACCCGGCGGGGUGAUCAUGAGGCCCUCCAUCGCGACGCGCUUGAUCGCCUCGCGGUCGAUGGCGAGGUUGAAGGCUUCGCGCACCUU